This 245-nucleotide ribosomal RNA is filed under the name uncultured bacterium. Its description in RNAcentral is "partial 16S ribosomal RNA". It matches the Rfam family "Bacterial small subunit ribosomal RNA", at positions 528 to 772 of the family's 1533-position model. The record is from RNAcentral.
UAGGGGGCAAGCGUUAUCCGGAUUUACUGGGUGUAAAGGGAGCGUAGACGGCUGUGUAAGUCUGAUGUGAAAGGUCGGGGCUCAACCCCGGGACUGCAUUGGAAACUGUGCGGCUAGAGUGUCGGAGAGGUAAGUGGAAUUCCUAGUGUAGCGGUGAAAUGCGUAGAUAUUAGGAGGAACACCAGUGGCGAAGGCGGCUUACUGGACGAUGACUGACGUUGAGGCUCGAAAGCGUGGGGAGCAAA